Molecule: long non-coding RNA, 4195 nt
Filed under: Homo sapiens (human)
Lineage: Eukaryota; Metazoa; Chordata; Mammalia; Primates; Hominidae
Description: HSALNT0188187
Source: RNAcentral
UUUAAAUACUUUUAGUUCACAUUUUUUAAUGUUUAAAAACUAUGUUAACAGAGCAGUUAUAGAACAGAACUUCUUAUAUUUCUUUAUUUACACCACACUCUGAAAAAAAAAACCCAGUUCUAUUUGAUUAACUAUGAAUAGCAAAGUUUUGUGACUUGUGACUCACUUAAAUCACCCAUCUGAAAUUCAUUUACAAGGUUUUUACAUUAAUAAAACAGUAGUGUGGUACAUGUAUUGGACUCAGAUGAAGUCUAAAGUACACUGGACUCUAGAGAGUGGAUUACAUACCAACGACCAAGAUUCAAGUGUUUGGGGAAAAAAAUACCUUAGACAGUCUAUGUUGGCGUCAACACUAAAAUAAAAGGCAAACAUGCAGGACUUUCAAAGCUUGAUUAGAUAAUGGUUCUUUGUUUUCUUUCCUUCAAAUUUGUGCUCAUAAUUAAUAUUCAGGUUCCCUCUCCCCGCUUUCAUAGAUCCCAAAGUUUGAGAAAUGCAGCAAUUCAAUUGUGAAAAAAACAUUCUUCUCCCCAGCUUCUGUUUUCAUAUGUACUGUGUAGUGGUAUCAGUGUUAAAAAUGGAAGAUCAUUAUGAAGAAACAAUUUGUCAUUUGGGUAUAUCUGUUUCUAUAGGACAAGGAUUUGUGUCUAAAUAUUCCUUACUUGUAUCUCAGAGGACUAUCUGUUAAAUAAUUGAUCUUAAUGCCAGCAUAAGAAAUCAAGGGAACUAUUUCUCAGACAUUUCUUUCUCUAAAUUAAGUAGGGUUUCAGGUUCCAAGUUUACAUUGAGAGAACUAUGUUACCUGGGAGAGAAUGUAAAUUUUUCUAAUUCCCAAACAAAACCACUAAUUUCUAGGAAACAUUUAUUGUUUAUAUGCAGAUCCUAGAGACUUCUAUUUCAGUGCAGAUCAACAACUUCAAAAAUAUACAGCCUCCUAUUUAUUUACAAUAAUAUUUACAUACAAAUGAAGUAUUUCCUGCAAUAAGCCUCAGCUGCAUAGAUUCUUCCUUUAAAAACGUAAAUUUGAGCCUGUAUACAGAUGGGCCCAGUUUCAUAGCCCUUCCUUAGAUAAAAGCCUAAAGAAGGAAAAUGUCUGCACCUUGUGAACUUUACAUAUUUUGCAAGAACUUUCUCUUUGAGAUUUAGUGAUAGUUUUUAGUUGUUAGACACCCCACCUUCAGCUUGUACCUGAAAGCUUUAUCUCGUUAUAAAUAAUUCACUGUAAUUUAGGGGAAGUAUGUCCUGUUGCUAAAGGAUUCUCAAACCUGCCAUCCCCAAGGAAAAUCAUGUAUUAGUAUUGCUAAAUGAUGGUCUGUAUAUUCUUUGUUUUGAAGGUGGCUAGAUGUUUGCUGUAAACUUGAAUGGGAGAAUUAUAUUCUUAAAGUUUACACCCCCUAUAAGCCUAAAGCCAUUUAAAUUGAUAAACUGAGAGAGACUAAUAGAUUUUGCUCUAAGGUAUAAAAUCCAUUAUCUGAUCAUAUUCCUGACCUCCCCCCGACUCCAACUAAAUGUGCCAUAGUCCAACACUGUGCCUCACUGAAUUGGAACUCAGUAUUUCAUUCUUUUGAGAGCAGUUUGUAGCUCCUUAAGCAGAGCAGACCUUUCAGUAGAGAAUUCGCUUUAAAAGGAGGACAGGAUUAUCACCACACGAUUAACACAAACACUGGAGAACUUCUGACACAAAUUCAGUAUUUCUUCUAAGUCUGCAUUUACAAAGGGUCUUUUAUUUUAAUUUCUUUCACAACUGCCUCGCCCCAACCAAAGCCUCACUUUCAUUUCCUCACAGCUUUAAAAAAUAAAAUAUUAUCAUGCCUCAGCCCGAGGUAACACCGAGUGCAGGCAGCCUGUGUUUAGGAAUUUGCACCUGCGCUGCUAUUUUCAACGAGAAGGGGAUAACCAGGUGGCAGCGCUGGAUUCACUCACUUUCUUGCCAUUGCAGAGACCCCUGCCGCCAGGCUCCUUUCCUCCCCUCCCUAAAGCCUGGCUCCUGUAUGUUGCACCAUGAGUCCUAGGAAUCAUCUGGUGAGGGAGGACUAAUGGGAAGUAAAAGGGAGACUCAUUGGCUUAGGGUGGUUCUCAAACUUGAUGCGCUUUAGAAUCAUUUGCUGAGUCCCUCCCUGAGAGCUUCUGACUUCACCAUGUCUGGGAGGGGGCUGAGAAUCUGCAUUCUAAUGAGGUCCCCGAUGAUGCUGAUGCUACUGGUCUAGGGGCCACACUUUGAGAACCACUGGCUUAGAGGCAUGAAUCAAGCUCUAGAAAGCAGUCAGUUCCAGGGUAAUAGUCUUAGGUGCUCGCCGAAGCACUGAGGAAUCUUACCACAACCCUGUGUCCACCACAAGCCCUAUCACCAUCACCCAUCUGGGUGCUUCUUUUUCUCAACAGGGUCUGUAACUGUAAAAAAGGAAAGUGGGUGGAGAGGUUUUUUUUUCCCCCUUUUUUCUUGUUUUCUAACCUCCCAGCUUAUUCCUGGAGAGUUAAAACACAGUUACUAGCACUAAAAACAUUAAAAGUGCUGCGCGCUGGCCUCAAUGACUGGUACAUUGGAGAAGCUAUGCAGCAGCAUCCUUUUCUGUGGUGGGCAGGGCAGGAGAUGAACCAUAGGAGCCAAAAGUCAGACAAACAGAAGAAGGCACACCAAGCCUGAACCCUCCGGACAACAGCAGAGUUACCAGCUGAGGGAUGUCCCUGGAGGUUUCUGACCCAUGAGAGGCCCCCUCACCCUCCUUCACCCUCCUCCUACCACCAAGCUCUCCAGCAGUCAUGGACUUAUUCCUCCCCGUUUUUACUGGACACCAUGUUUCAGGCCAAUCUGGUGAUAUUUGACGAAUUAUGGUAGGGUCUAUUAUAUUCAGUCAACAACAAAUUUAGAGAAACAUACAAAGGUUUUUAAAAAUAUGGGUGGUGUCACACAGAUCAACAACACUGUGCCUCCUCUAAAUAAAUCUAUUUUAAAUAAAUAUUCCUUGUAUUGACACAUGAAACCCAGAGGCCCAAAAAUAUCACUACACAUCCCAGUUAAUGAUAAGGUUCUAAAUUGACUUUGUGAGGGUAAAAUGAAUUGCUAUAAAGUAACAAGGAAAAUAGAAAGUAGCAUAAUAUAGCUUGCAAACUAAAUUAUGUAUUUUUAAAGGUACAGUCAUCCCACUACCUGGCUAUUUCAUUACUUGGUGCUCUAGACAAGCUCCCAAGAACUGACUGGAUCUUGGCUUGUUCUGUUUCUGUCAUUGCUAAUAUAAUAUGGAAAACAUUGCUGAAAAGAACAGAGAUGGCCAUGGAUAUGGCUAGGUUAGGUAUUCAUAUCCAAAUAUCUGAACUCUAACCUAAUGUGGAUAUGAUUCUGUAGCAUUAUAUUAAAAGCUAUGAUGAUGCAAUGCAGGAAAUAACCUUUCAUUCUCCCCCCUAGAGGAUCACGACAGGUGCUUCAAUGCCUGCCUUAUCUAUGGGACAGUAGUGUGAUUCUCAGUGAGAGUGAAGGCCUUUGGGGAUUUGAGUCAGGAAGGGAACAUGGCUAAGUGCCUGGAAACUCUGCCAACAGUCUGCGGUUAGAUUCUACUUGUCUCUGGAUAAGAAAUCUGUGCUCAGUGAACUUAUGUGUUUGGAAAAUUUAACCAGAAUAUAGAGGAAGCAUAAGUCCUGUUUCAAGAGACCAGCUCACGGAGCAUGCACAUUUCUCACCAUAGGCAAGCUAUGGACAAUUCAAUCACAUGGGAUGGCCCCACUUAGGGGAAUGCAGUUCUGGGUUUCCUUGCUAUCCCUAUUCUUUUUCAGCUACAAACUCUCUUCUUUUUCAGUCUCUUCAGUUUCCUUGUGCUCCCUUUAGGAGAGGGACAAGGGUAAGAGUACCAGGCAACUCUGUCCUCCUGCAUGGACAGUUGAGACGGGCAGUAAUGGCACAGUCCUUGGUUGGGGAAGAGAAGAGGAGACAGCACAGACACUGAGACCCCCUUGUCUUCCUCAUCUGGGGGAAGGAAGGUACUCAGUGAUUCUGUCAGAAGCUCUUCACAAAGACUAUCUCUGAGGGUUUUUUUUUUUUUUUUUUCACAAGACUAGAUGGAGAAUUAAUGAAGAAGAAAUAGAAAUGAGGCUUAUUUAAGGUACAAAAUUCUUGUAUUUGUAAUAACCUAGAUUUAUAGAUAUAAAACAAGUCUUUUAAAGACUUCCCUAAAAUACUCAAUAUAAAACAGGAGUUACUUAUCCU